AGGAAGCCGGUGUGAAUCCGGCACGGUCCCGCCACUGUGAUCGGGGAGCGACCCUCAAACGCCACGGCUCUGCAAAGGGCUGGAAGGCGAGGCGAGCAGUGAUCCGAGAGUCAGGACACU
Molecule: non-coding RNA, 120 nt
Organism: Mycobacterium arupense
Lineage: Bacteria; Bacillati; Actinomycetota; Actinomycetes; Mycobacteriales; Mycobacteriaceae
Source: Rfam